RNAcentral lists this small RNA (544 nucleotides) under Pongo abelii (Sumatran orangutan). RNAcentral's name for it is "processed transcript". The record is from RNAcentral. Lineage: Eukaryota; Metazoa; Chordata; Mammalia; Primates; Hominidae.
GGCCAUGUGAUGCUAGGAACAAUGGAUGUCCAUCACCACUGGACAAAAACUGUUGAAAAGUAGAAUACUAUUUCACCCUCGAAGUUUGCGUGGUUUACAAAUGAUCCUUAACAGUGACAGAUAUGUUCCAAGCUUGCAUGAACUCGGGCAUUUUAAUAUUCCAACAAUCUGUGAUCCAGCAAAUCUCCAGUGGUUUAUUCUCACCAAAGCUCAGCAGGCGAGAGAGAACAUGAAAAGAAAGGAAGAGUUAAAGGUUAUUGAAAAUGAAUUGAUACAGGCAUCAACAAAGAAAUUUUCUUUGGAGAAGUUAUAUAAAGAGCCCAGCAUUUCUAGUAUACAAAUGGUGGAUUGUUGUAAGAGACUUCUAGAACAAUCACUGCCUUACCUACAUGGGAUGCACCUCUGCAUUUCACAUUUUUACUCUGUUAUGCAAGAUGGAGACCUUUGUAUUCCUUGGAAUUGGAAGAAUGGAGAAGCCAUUAAGUAACACAGAAAUCUUUUUAUUUUUUUAAGAGAUAAGAAAGGAACUUAAAUUAAAAAUAUU